AUGACUCUCGGCAACGGAUAUCUCGGCUCUUGCAUCGAUGAAGAACGUAGCGAAAUGCGAUACUUGGUGUGAAUUGCAGAAUCCCGUGAACCAUCGAGUCUUUGAACGCAAGUUGCGCCCGAAGCCACCAGGCUGAGGGCACGCCUGCCUGGGCGUCGC
This 159-nucleotide ribosomal RNA is filed under the name Bowdichia nitida. RNAcentral describes it as "5.8S ribosomal RNA". It matches the Rfam family "5.8S ribosomal RNA". From Rfam's summary of the family: 5.8S ribosomal RNA (5.8S rRNA) is a component of the large subunit of the eukaryotic ribosome. It is transcribed by RNA polymerase I as part of the 45S precursor that also contains 18S and 28S rRNA. Functionally, it is thought that 5.8S rRNA may be involved in ribosome translocation. The record is from RNAcentral. Lineage: Eukaryota; Viridiplantae; Streptophyta; Magnoliopsida; Fabales; Fabaceae.